GAUGAACGCUGGCGGCGUGCCUAAUACAUGCAAGUCGAGCGAACAGACGAGGAGCUUGCUCCUCUGACGUUAGCGGCGGACGGGUGAGUAACACGUGGAUAACCUACCUAUAAGACUGGGAUAACUUCGGGAAACCGGAGCUAAUACCGGAUAAUAUAUUGAACCGCAUGGUUCAAUAGUGAAAGACGGUUUUGCUGUCACUUAUAGAUGGAUCCGCGCCGCAUUAGCUAGUUGGUAAGGUAACGGCUUACCAAGGCAACGAUGCGUAGCCGACCUGAGAGGGUGAUCGGCCACACUGGAACUGAGACACGGUCCAGACUACUACGGGAGGCAGCAGUAGGGAAUCUGCCGCAAUGGGCGAAAGCAUGACGGAGCAACGCCGCGUGAGUGAUGAAGGUCUUCGGAUCGUAAAACUCUGUUAUUAGGGAAGAACAAAUGUGUAAGUAACUAUGCACGUCUUGACGGUACCUAAUCAGAAAGCCACGGCUAACUACGUG
RNAcentral lists this ribosomal RNA (497 nucleotides) under uncultured bacterium. RNAcentral's name for it is "partial 16S ribosomal RNA". It matches the Rfam family "Bacterial small subunit ribosomal RNA", at positions 28 to 507 of the family's 1533-position model. The record is from RNAcentral.